This 482-nucleotide ribosomal RNA is filed under the name uncultured bacterium. RNAcentral describes it as "partial 16S ribosomal RNA". It matches the Rfam family "Bacterial small subunit ribosomal RNA", at positions 28 to 507 of the family's 1533-position model. The record is from RNAcentral.
GACGAACGCUCGCGGCGUGCUUAACACAUGCAAGUCGAACGCUGAAGCUCAGCUUGCUGGGUGGAUGAGUGGCGAACGGGUGAGUAACACGUGAGUAACCUGCCCUCUUCUUUGGGAUAACGCCCGGAAACGGGUGCUAAUACUGGAUAUUCACUGAUUCUCGCAUGGGGGUUGGUGGAAAGGUUUUUUCUGGUGGGGGAUGGGCUCGCGGCCUAUCAGCUUGUUGGUGGGGUGAUGGCCUACCAAGGCUUUGACGGGUAGCCGGCCUGAGAGGGUGACCGGUCACAUUGGGACUGAGAUACGGCCCAGACUCCUACGGGAGGCAGCAGUGGGGAAUAUAGCACAAUGGGCGAAAGCCUGAUGCAGCGACGCCGCGUGAGGGAUGGAGGCCUUCGGGUUGUAAACCUCUUUCGCUCAUGGUCAAGCCGCAGCUUUGGGUUGUGGUGAGGGUAGUGGGUAAAGAAGCGCCGGCUAACUACGUG